AGAACGAACGCUGGCGGCAUGCCUAAUACAUGCAAGUCGAACGAACACUCUGACUUCGGUUGGGGUGUUAGUGGCGCACGGGUGCGUAACGCGUGGGAAUCUGCCCUUGGGUUCGGAAUAACAGUUGGAAACGACUGCUAAUACCGGAUGAUAUCGAAAGAUCAAAGAUUUAUCGCCCAGGGAUGAGCCCGCGUAGGAUUAGCUAGUUGGUGGGGUAAAGGCUCACCAAGGCGACGAUCCUUAGCUGGUCUGAGAGGAUGAUCAGCCACACUGGGACUGAGACACGGCCCAGACUCCUACGGGAGGCAGCAGUAGGGAAUAUUGGACAAUGGGCGCAAGCCUGAUCCAGCAAUGCCGCGUGAGUGAUGAAGGCCUUAGGGUUGUAAAGCUCUUUACCCGAGAUGAUAAUGACAGUAUCGGAGAAUAAGCCCGGACUAACUCCGUAGCCAGCAGCCGC
Molecule: ribosomal RNA, 457 nt
Filed under: uncultured soil bacterium
Lineage: Bacteria
Description: bacterial SSU rRNA
Rfam family: Bacterial small subunit ribosomal RNA
Source: RNAcentral